RNAcentral lists this ribosomal RNA (463 nucleotides) under uncultured bacterium. RNAcentral's name for it is "partial 16S ribosomal RNA". It matches the Rfam family "Bacterial small subunit ribosomal RNA", at positions 28 to 506 of the family's 1533-position model. The record is from RNAcentral.
GACGAACGCUGGCGGCGUGCUUAACACAUGCAAGUCGAACGGAAAGGCCCUGCUUGCCGGGUACUCGAGUGGCGAACGGGUGAGUAACACGUGGGUGAUCUGCCCUGCACUUCGGGAUAAGCCUGGGAAACUGGGUCUAAUACCGGAUAGGAGCCAUUUUUAGUGUGAUGGUUGGAAAGUUUUUUCGGUGUAGGAUGAGCUCGCGGCCUAUCAGCUUGUUGGUGGGGUAAUGGCCUACCAAGGCGGCGACGGGUAGCCGGCCUGAGAGGGUGGACGGCCAAAUGGGGACUGGGAUACGGCCCGGACUCAUACGGGGGGAAGGGGGGGGGAAUUUGGCACAAUGGGCGCAAGCCGGAUGGAGGGACGCCGGGGGGGGGAUGACGGCCUUCGGGUUGUAAACUCCUUUCGCUAGGGACGAAGCUUUUGUGACGGUACCUAGAUAAGAAGCCCCGGCUAACUACGU